This 492-nucleotide ribosomal RNA is filed under the name uncultured bacterium. RNAcentral describes it as "partial 16S ribosomal RNA". It matches the Rfam family "Bacterial small subunit ribosomal RNA", at positions 29 to 507 of the family's 1533-position model. The record is from RNAcentral.
AGUGAACGCUGGCGGUAGGCCUAACACAUGCAAGUCGAACGGCAGCACAGUAAGAGCUUGCUCUUACGGGUGGCGAGUGGCGGACGGGUGAGGAAUACAUCGGAAUCUACUUUUUCGUGGGGGAUAACGUAGGGAAACUUACGCUAAUACCGCAUACGACCUACGGGUGAAAGCAGGGGAUCUUCGGACCUUGCGCGAUUGAAUGAGCCGAUGUCGGAUUAGCUAGUUGGCGGGGUAAAGGCCCACCAAGGCGACGAUCCGUAGCUGGUCUGAGAGGAUGAUAAGCCACACUGGAACUGAGACACGGUCAAGACUCCUACGGGAGGCAGCAGUGGGGAAUAUUGGACAAUGGGCGCAAGCCUGAUCCAGCCAUACCGAGUGGGUGAAGAAGGCCUUCGGGUUGUAAAGCCCUUUUGUGGGGAAAGAAAAGCAGCAGGUUAAUACCCCGCUGUUCUGACGGUACCCAAAGAAUAAGCACCGGCUAACUUCGUG